CCCUUAGAUGUUCUGGGCCGCACGCGCGCUACACUGAUCGGUGCAACGAGCAUCCGUCCUUGGCCGACAGGCCCGGGCAAUCUUUGAACGCCGGUCGUGAUGGGGAUAGACCUUUGCAAUUUUUGGUCUUCAACGAGGAAUUCCUAGUAAACGCAAGUCAUCAACUUGCAUUGAUUACGUCCCUGCCCUUUGUACACACCGCCCGUCGCACCUACCGAUUGAAUGGUCCGGUGAAACCUCCGGAUUGGCGCGUGCCCUCGGGCGCCGCCGAGAAGUUGGUUAAACCUUACCAUUUAGAGGAAGGUGAAGUCGUAACA
This 317-nucleotide ribosomal RNA is filed under the name uncultured eukaryote. RNAcentral's name for it is "partial 18S ribosomal RNA". It matches the Rfam family "Eukaryotic small subunit ribosomal RNA", at positions 1470 to 1796 of the family's 1831-position model. The record is from RNAcentral.